This 921-nucleotide long non-coding RNA is filed under the name Citrus maxima (pomelo). Its description in RNAcentral is "long non-coding RNA (CMAX_LNC004237)". Lineage: Eukaryota; Viridiplantae; Streptophyta; Magnoliopsida; Sapindales; Rutaceae. The record is from RNAcentral.
UGCUGCUGCUCAUCCUUCACAAACCUUCACCGCUGGAAUCUCGUCCCCGCUGCUGCUGCUGCUCAUCCUUCACGAAUCUGAUUUGCCACCGCUGCUCAUCGCCGACUUUCGUCCCCGCUGCCACUGUCACCUACCGCUGUCACCUACUAUCAACUGUUGCUGCUGUCACGGUGCUCCCCUGCUGCCAUCUGACUACUGUUGUGAGUUGCUGCUGGUAACUUGAGCUGCUUGAGCUUGAGCUGUUUUUGCAGAGAACUUGAGUUGCUGCUGGCGUGAAAAGGGGAGAUUUUCUUCGGUGCAACCAUAAUUAAAGUGAUUGUGUGAGAGUGGGAAGGGAUUUUAAUUGUUUUCCACACAUAAAAUAAAGUGAGAUUUGAGAGUGGGAAGGGAAGAGCCUUUUAAUUUUUCUUGUACGCAAGAAUACACAAAAAUAAUGUGAGGCUGGCGAUUUCAGGCCUCUCAUUUUUUUCUUCUUUCAAUUCCUCAGUAACACCUCAUCGUAAUCUUGAUUGACCCCAGCGCUCUUUUAUUUGCCAUCUAACUCGAUUUGGAAGAUCGUCAUUGGAAAGAAUGGAAUGCCUUAUUUGGACUCUUGUUGAUGGGUUAUUGUCUUCUGUGACAAGGUCCAGAAUAUUUAAGUGGUUGAGAACGUUAAUUCUGUUAUAUUAGAAAAACAAAUGAGCUACUUUCCAUCUACAUGCAAUCUCUAAAUUGUCGACAGUUUUUGUUGUUCAAAACUCACUCAAUUAUGUUGAUUUAAUCCAAUAUAUGAUAAAUAACAAAUUAAGUUUUAUAAUUAUCCAUUCUUUAGUUAAGUUAAUUGUAGAUAGUUGUUGUGAAACAAUUGUUUGGCUAAAUUUAUUAGCAACAAAAAUCAAAUACGUAUUCAUUAUGUUGAAUUAAUAAACAAUUAUACUUCCC